RNAcentral lists this ribosomal RNA (331 nucleotides) under uncultured eukaryote. RNAcentral's name for it is "partial 18S ribosomal RNA". It matches the Rfam family "Eukaryotic small subunit ribosomal RNA", at positions 1470 to 1796 of the family's 1831-position model. The record is from RNAcentral.
CCCUUAGAUGUUCUGGGCCGCACGCGCGCUACACUGACGAAGUCAGCGAGCAUGUCCUACGCCGACAGGUGCGGGGAAUCUUGUCAAACUUCGUCGUGAUGGGGAUUGAUUUUUGAAAUUCUUGAUCAUAAACGAGGAAUUCCUAGUAAGCGCAAGUCAGCAGCUUGCGUUGAUUACGUCCCUGCCCUUUGUACACACCGCCCGUCGCUACUACCGAUUGAAUGGUUUAGUGAGAUCUUCGGAUUGGCGCCACUGCAGCUCAGCAAUGGGCUUGGUGGAUGCCGAAAAGUUGAUCAAACUUGAUCAUUUAGAGGAGGUAAAAGUCGUAACA